CUACACAUGCAAGUCGAGCGGCAGCACGGGUACUUGUACCUGGUGGCGAGCGGCGGACGGGUGAGUAAUGCCUAGGAAUCUGCCUGGUAGUGGGGGAUAACGCUCGGAAACGGACGCUAAUACCGCAUACGUCCUACGGGAGAAAGCAGGGGACCUUCGGGCCUUGCGCUAUCAGAAGAUCCUAGGUCGGAUUAGCUAGUUGGUGAGGUAAUGGCUCACCAAGGCGACGAUCCGUAACUGGUCUGAGAGGAUGAUCAGUCACACUGGAACUGAGACACGGUCCAGACUCCUACGGAGGCAGCAGUGGGAUAUUGGAACAAUGGGCAAAGCCUGAUCCAGCCAUGCCGCGUGUGUGAAGAAGGUCUUCGGAUUGUAAAGCACUUUAAGUUGGGAGGAAGGGCAGUUACCUAAUACGUGAUUGUUUUGACGUUACCGACAGAAUAAGCACCGGCUAACUCUGUGCCAGCAGCCGCGGUAAUACAGAGGGUGCAAG
RNAcentral lists this ribosomal RNA (493 nucleotides) under Pseudomonas savastanoi. Its description in RNAcentral is "bacterial SSU rRNA". It matches the Rfam family "Bacterial small subunit ribosomal RNA", at positions 49 to 538 of the family's 1533-position model. The record is from RNAcentral. Lineage: Bacteria; Pseudomonadati; Pseudomonadota; Gammaproteobacteria; Pseudomonadales; Pseudomonadaceae.